This 403-nucleotide ribosomal RNA is filed under the name Bradyrhizobium elkanii. Its description in RNAcentral is "bacterial LSU rRNA". It matches the Rfam family "Bacterial large subunit ribosomal RNA", at positions 1 to 357 of the family's 2925-position model. The record is from RNAcentral. Lineage: Bacteria; Pseudomonadati; Pseudomonadota; Alphaproteobacteria; Hyphomicrobiales; Nitrobacteraceae.
AAUCAAGUGCCUUAAGGGUGUUCGGUGGAUGCCUUGGCGCUGAGAGGCGAUGAAGGACGUGCUACGCUGCGAUAAGCCGUGGGGAGCUGCGAAGAAGCUUAGAUCCGCGGAUUUCCGAAUGGGGAAACCCACCUUCGAUAGCCGGAACUCCAAGACCUUGUGUGUUGGGGUUCGACCAGAAAUGCGAGAAAUCAAACCGCGAGGUUUUGGAUUUCCGGUUAUCAAGAGAAGGUAUGAGACCUCUGAAUAAAAUAGGAGGUUUUAAGCAAACCCAGGGAACUGAAACAUCUAAGUACCUGGAGGAAAGGACAUCAAUCGAGACUCCGUUAGUAGUGGCGAGCGAACGCGGACCAGGCCAGUGAUACAUCAAAGACAAUCGGAACCUGUCAGGAAAGCAGGGCCU